CCCUGAGCUGAGAGACCACAAGCAGAAGCCAUGGGCUCCUGGUUUGGACUUAGAAAAAAACCUGAAACCUUCAAUGGCGUCUCCACCAUCAUAGGUGGGCCUGCAGCCCAACCUUAACCUUGGGUCCUCGUCCUAACGACCUGAAGAUCGUCCCCUGACGGAUUUUGGUCGAGAUUCGUUUUUAUUCUCAUCGGAUUUGUUUGAAACUUCGUUACAAUUUUUUUAGGGUUUCUAUAAUGUUGAGAGUUUUUACUCUCCAUUCACACUUUUGGGUCACCGAUGAACCCAUAAUUUUUUUUUCGUGAUUUUUGUGCACGA
Molecule: long non-coding RNA, 318 nt
Filed under: Malus domestica (apple)
Lineage: Eukaryota; Viridiplantae; Streptophyta; Magnoliopsida; Rosales; Rosaceae
Description: long non-coding RNA (MDOM_LNC016793)
Source: RNAcentral